AUUGUUCAGAGCCAUGAGUUGAAAGAUUGCCACGUGCAGGUGGGAGGGCUUCAAGAUUCACACCGGUCCAAGAAGUCCUCAUUGUGGAUAUGGUAUGCAAGAACAAUGUGAUGAGACUACGGGAGAUACGGGAGAAAAUUAUUGAUGACAAUUUGAACUUUCGGACCACUGACAAUGUCAGCCUGACAACCAUAGACAGAGUCCUCAAGUGCCAGAGAGUACGCAUGAUGCAGGGCUAUAGGGUACCCAUUGAGCGCAACUCUGACAGAAUAAAACACCUACGUCACCAGUAUGUGCAAAGGAUCUUCGGGUUGGAGUCCAUGGCCAGACCCCAUGAAUUUAUGGGGUCUGGCAUCAACUUCACAAAAAAGAGGAGGAGAGGCCGUAACAUCAUAAGACGGAGAGCUAUCGUGGAGGAAACAUCACUCUCUGCGCUGCCAUGAAUUUUAGAGGGCUUCUCCACCGGCAUGCUGAACUCUGCGCCUACAACACUGAGUGCCUCCUCACCAUUCAAGGAGAGCUCAGAGAUGUCUUGCAUGACCGUGACCACCUGAAUGCUAGGCCAGCUGAUCACCACGACCAGCAGAUUCCGGAGCCUGCUGAUCUUUCCAUAUAUUUCAUCCUCUGGGACAAUGUUAUUUUCCAUCGCAGCAUCCAGGUCAGAGAGUGGUUUAACAUCAACCAGCAAUUUAUUAAUGUGUGUCUGCCACCCUACUCUCCAUUCCUAAACCCAAUAGAAAAGUUCUUCUUAUC
Nerophis lumbriciformis (worm pipefish) is the source of this 753-nucleotide long non-coding RNA. RefSeq lists it as uncharacterized. The record is from RefSeq and is a predicted model, not a curated record. Lineage: Eukaryota; Metazoa; Chordata; Actinopteri; Syngnathiformes; Syngnathidae.